AUGGAUUGGAAUUCUCGUGUACUCUCUUGGAAUGUGAGGGGUCUUAAUAACCCUGCUAAAAGGAAUGCGGUUAGGGAUUAUGUAACAGAUGCAAAGGUGAACUUGGUGUGUCUUCUAGAGACGAAGUUAGAUGUACUUGAUACAUAUUUGGUGAUGCAAUGCAUUGGGCCAUCUUUUGAUGGUCUUGCUUAUCUCCCGGCGAUCGAUACG
RNAcentral lists this ribosomal RNA (210 nucleotides) under Triticum aestivum (bread wheat). RNAcentral's name for it is "partial small subunit ribosomal RNA". The record is from RNAcentral. Lineage: Eukaryota; Viridiplantae; Streptophyta; Magnoliopsida; Poales; Poaceae.